GAAAUGCGAUAAGUAAUGUGAAUUGCAGAAUUCAGUGAAUCAUCGACUCUUUGAACGCACAUUGCGCCUGUGAGACACACACAGGCAUGCCUGCUUGAGUGCCAGUCACCCAAGUCGCUGCACGCGCACGCGCGCAGCGGACGAGUAUGAGCAAUCGCAGAGUGCAUUGCGCGCUGUGGUGGCUUCAAGUACACAGUGUGGCAGUGGGUUGAGGAGAGAUAGUCACAGCAUCACUCUGUGUGAUCUCAUACUAUCUCUCCCUCACCCACACACCCAAUCGACUAUUGGCCUCAAGUCAGGCAGGAGGACCCGCUGGAUUGAA
This 322-nucleotide unclassified non-coding RNA is filed under the name uncultured Sordariales. Its description in RNAcentral is "sequence contains ITS1". The stretch from base 1 to 104 matches the Rfam family "5.8S ribosomal RNA", at positions 50 to 154 of the family's 154-position model. Lineage: Eukaryota; Fungi; Ascomycota; Sordariomycetes; Sordariales. The record is from RNAcentral.